This 830-nucleotide ribosomal RNA is filed under the name uncultured Nitrososphaerota archaeon. RNAcentral describes it as "bacterial SSU rRNA". It matches the Rfam family "Archaeal small subunit ribosomal RNA", at positions 48 to 885 of the family's 1478-position model. Lineage: Archaea; Thermoproteati; Nitrososphaerota. The record is from RNAcentral.
GGCUGCGAGUCAUUGUAGCAAUACAAGGCAGACGGCUCAGUCGUACGUAGCCAAUCUAACCUAUGGACGGGGAUAACCUCGGGAAACUGAGGAUAAACUGCGAUAGAUCAUUAUGCCUGGAACGGUUUAUGGUCCAAAUGAUUCGUCGCCGUAGGAUGAGACUGCGGCCUAUCAGCUUGUUGGUGAGGUAAUGGCCCACCAAGGCUAUUACAGGUACGGGCUCUGAGAGGAGAGGCCCGGAGAUGGGUACUGAGACACGGACCCAGUCCCUAUGGGGCGCAGCAGGCGAGAAACCUUUGCAAUGUGCGCAAGCACGACAAGGUUAAUCCGAGUGAUUCCUGCUAAAGGAAUCUUUUGUUAGUCUUAAAAUCACUAUUGAAUAAGGGGUGGGCAAGUUGAGGUGUCAGCCGCCGCAGUAAAACCAGCACCUCAAGUGGUCAGGAUGAUUAUUGGGCCUAAAGCAUCCGUAGCCUGCUCAGUAAGUUUCCGGUUAAAUCCAUUAGCUCAACUAAUGGCCUGCCGGAAAGUUAGCAGAGCUAGGAAGUGGGAGAGGUAGACGCUGCUCGGUAGGAAGGGGUAAAAUCCUUUGAUCUAUUGAUGACCACCUGUGGCGAAGGCGGUCUACCAGAACACGUUCGGUUAUGAGGGAUGAAAGCUGGGGGAGCAAACCGGAUUAGAUACCUGGGUAGUCCCAGCUGUAAACGAUGCAGACUCGGUGAUGCGCUGGCUUGUGGCCAGUGCAGUGCCGCAGGUAAGCCGUUAAGUUUGCCGCCUGGGAAGUACGUACGCAAGUAUGAAACUUAAAGGAAUUGGCGGGGGAGCACUGUGCA